GAGGGUAGAGCUCAAAUGCUAGAGCACAUGCCUAGCAUGCACAAGGUCCUGGGUUCAAUCCCUAGUACCUCCU
RNAcentral lists this transfer RNA (73 nucleotides) under Camelus bactrianus (Bactrian camel). It matches the Rfam family "tRNA". From Rfam's summary of the family: Transfer RNA (tRNA) molecules are approximately 80 nucleotides in length. Their secondary structure includes four short double-helical elements and three loops (D, anti-codon, and T loops). Lineage: Eukaryota; Metazoa; Chordata; Mammalia; Artiodactyla; Camelidae. The record is from Rfam by way of RNAcentral. RNAcentral also lists the same sequence under 1 other name.